This 83-nucleotide transfer RNA is filed under the name Candidatus Thorarchaeota archaeon. Its description in RNAcentral is "tRNA-Leu". It matches the Rfam family "tRNA". Rfam says of the family: Transfer RNA (tRNA) molecules are approximately 80 nucleotides in length. Their secondary structure includes four short double-helical elements and three loops (D, anti-codon, and T loops). Lineage: Archaea; Promethearchaeati; Candidatus Thorarchaeota. The record is from RNAcentral.
GCCGAGGUAGCCAAGCUGGCCAACGGCGAUGGACUCAAGUUCCACACUCCGUGGAGUUGGAACAAAUCCCAUCCUCGGCACCA